This 255-nucleotide ribosomal RNA is filed under the name uncultured bacterium. RNAcentral's name for it is "partial 16S ribosomal RNA". It matches the Rfam family "Bacterial small subunit ribosomal RNA", at positions 524 to 776 of the family's 1533-position model. The record is from RNAcentral.
UACGUAGGGUGCGAGCGUUUAAUCGGAAUUACUGGGCGUAAAGCGUGCGCAGGCGGUUCGUUGUGUCGGCGGUGAAAGCCCCGGGCUUAACCUGGGAAUGGCCGUCGAAACUGGCGAACUGGAGUGUGGCAGAGGGGGGGUGGAAUUCCGCGUGUAGCAGUGAAAUGCGUAGAGAUGCGGAGGAACACCGAUGGCGAAGGCAGCCCCCUGGGCUAACACUGACGCUCAUGCACGAAAGCGUGGGGAGCAAACAGG